Molecule: ribosomal RNA, 221 nt
Filed under: uncultured bacterium
Lineage: Bacteria
Description: partial 16S ribosomal RNA
Rfam family: Bacterial small subunit ribosomal RNA
Source: RNAcentral
ACACGUAUCCAACCUGCCGUCUACUCUUGGACAGCCUUCUGAAAGGAAGAUUAAUACAAGAUGGCAUCAUGAGUUCACAUGUUCACAUGAUUAAAGGUAUUCCGGUAGACGAUGGGGAUGCGUUCCAUUAGAUAGUAGGCGGGGUAACGGCCCACCUAGUCUUCGAUGGAUAGGGGUUCUGAGAGGAAGGUCCCCCACAUUGGAACUGAGACACGGUCCAA